This is a long non-coding RNA of Salvia splendens (bonfire salvia), 2109 nucleotides long. RefSeq lists it as uncharacterized. The record is from RefSeq and is a predicted model, not a curated record. The transcript is spliced from 2 exons. NCBI's taxonomy places the organism in Eukaryota, Viridiplantae, Streptophyta, Magnoliopsida, Lamiales, Lamiaceae.
UUUUCCAUCAAGAUAUCGAAUUAAGAUCUCAAAAUUAUUUAAGCGUAUAAAUAAAUGAUCACCAUUGUUUCCCUUCGGAAUUUAUAUUUAUUUCGUACUUUGAAUAAAAUUAUUCAUCUUUAGCAUGGUUCAGAAUUAAAUCAUUCCCCCACACUUAAUUUAAUUAUUCAUCGGCCCAAAAAUUUAAUUUAUCUCUAGUCCAAGCCAAUUAAAAAUCCCAGUCCACCUUAUUACUCCUAUUUAUUUUACGAGGCCCAAAAAGUAGCCCAAUUUUAUACUCCCAUCCUCUCUCUCUCUCUCUCUCUCUCUCUCUUCACCUCACUUCUUCUCCAAUUCGACCAAAUCGAAGAUCCCCAAUUUAAGGAGACCGCCGACUCCCUUCCGUCGUCCUUACGCUGACCGCUCCAACGCCAGGCCGGCGGUAUCGCCGUCGCCACUGUCGGCUGUACCAAGUCCCCCGUUUCGGUAAAAUCCCCAAAUUGGAUGAUACCCCAAAAUGAGAGGGGUUCCCGAUUCGUCGCCUCCCUCCGACCUUCACCGCUAAAUCGACGCCGGUCACCACCACCGCGGCUCUCCUCACUCACGUCAGCGACCAUCACUCACCAACGCCGCCGAUUCCUCAUCAUUCCGACACCACCGCCGCUGUUUCUCGGCGAAACUGGCCGAUUCGCCAAUGCAGCUGUUGGAAAAGGUGGGCGUCUCUCAGCCGUUGUUGCUGCUUCGUCGAUUCACCACCGUGGAGUCACCGCAGCCGAACAGCAACGCCGAGUAGGCGCCUCGCUUUCGCUGCUCUGCCGCCUCAUCCCGCCGUCUGCCUGCCUGAAACUGGCAACCAGCUACCGUCGUCCGGCCUUGUCGACUCGACUCCGAGGCGUCCCAAUCAGUCCCCGAAACAGUUCCGAAACCAAUCCGGACAGCCUCCGUUUACAUUCGAACAACCCCGAAAGAUAAGUUCUCUUUACCAAAACAUGUUCUUUCGUGUUUUCAAUUAAUCACAGCGGUUGUUCGAUUAUUGGUGUUAAAAAAGGAUUGAAUUAUUGCAAGCAAGGGGUGGUUAAAUUGUUGAUUGCUCGAUUGUGUUAUUGAUUUAGUUCUUUGUGUAUUGAUUUAGUUCUUUGUGUGGGAGAUUGAUGUAUGAUGCUAUGUUGGGAGCAAAAGCAUAUGUUCAUGAUUGAAAUUGAGCAGUGGAGGUUUAUACCUUCUGUCGAACUUUGAAUUUGGGGUGCAAAAGGAGUACUUCCUUGGACUUGGCAGUUUCGUUCCUCUCACAUAUUGUUGCACAUGUUUGAAACUCUUCCACAACUACUGCUCCUUGAAUUUUUUUGGCUCCUAGGCUCCAACUCCCUCUCACUCUCAACUCACUAUCAUUCUAAUUGGUAUGUGGUGGUGAAAGAGGGUGAGGCCGAGGGUCAUCUUAUACUUGAAUUGCAUAACAGAAAGCCUGCAAAGGCUGGUAUAUUUGGGCAGAAAAAGAGUCCUUGGUUGGUUAUAUGUUGGCUGUUCUCUCUGUAGCAAUGCUGGGAUGUACUCUGCAUUAAUUGGAAUUGUAACCUCUUUUGUUGUUUUUGUUGUCAUAUUGCAGAGUAUCUCAGCCCCCUGUCUCUCACUGCAAGUCACUGUAUUUUGUCUGACUUUUUGCAGGUACAAUCGUGAAUGGAGGCCAUUGAACUUAGGUGAAAGGCCUCUGCAGCUGCUGGGAGUGAAGAGGCCGGCUGGACUGCCUCACAGUCACAGCAGCCUUCGGUGGUACCGGCUGAGAGGGCAAGCUGCUGCAGGUCCUUGCUGCCUUCAUUCCUACUCAUUUAGGUAAUAGGGCUGGCUACAUAUGGUCAUCACACUAAUGUCCCAGCCCAUCGAGCCAUCUGAAGUUGGGCCGAAACGGCCUGAAGAUAAUGGCCGAUGAAGUUUUCUAAAGAUCUUGGAUUGAAAAGAGUAGUUCGACUUGUAGUCUUCCCUUUUCUUUUCGACAUGUAUGCAAAUAUCUGUAAUAGUUAGUGUGUAUUUUGUUUCCUUCAUUUUCAUCGUCAAUUAUUUAAAAUCUGACUUAGUUUGAAAUUUCUACAUUGCACUUCGUUUACUUAAGAAGUAAACGGAUACAUUUUCGCUUCA